CUUGUCCAAUGGGCGAAAGCCUGAGACAGCAACGCCGCGUGGAGGAUGAAGGCUUUCGGGUUGUAAACUCCUGUCAGAGGGGGCGAAGUCAUACGGGUAAAUAAUCCGUAUGAUUGACGGUACCCUCAAAGGAAGCCCCGGCUAAUUACGUGCCAGCAGCCGCGGUAAUACGUAUGGGGCAAGCGUUGCUCGGAUUAACUGGGCGUAAAGGGCGCGUAGGCUGGCUUCUAAGUCAGAUGUGAAAUCCAAUGGCUCAACCAUUGAACUGCAUUUGAAACUGGGAGCCUAGAGUUCAGAAGGGGCAGAUGGAAUUAGUGGUGUAGGGGUAAAAUCCGUAGAUAUCACUAGGAAUAUCAAAAGCGAAGGCGAUCUGCUGGGAUGAUACUGACGCUGAGGCACGAAAGCGUGGGGAGCAAACAGGAUUAGAUACACCANUANUC
RNAcentral lists this ribosomal RNA (440 nucleotides) under uncultured bacterium. Its description in RNAcentral is "bacterial SSU rRNA". It matches the Rfam family "Bacterial small subunit ribosomal RNA", at positions 363 to 795 of the family's 1533-position model. The record is from RNAcentral.